Molecule: long non-coding RNA, 1818 nt
Organism: Gallus gallus (chicken)
Lineage: Eukaryota; Metazoa; Chordata; Aves; Galliformes; Phasianidae
Source: Ensembl
AGAAGGAGUCAUGUUUCAGGGAUGAUUUUUACUGCUUAAUAUGAGGCAGUGUAGAAGUAGUAUCCCAUACUAAGCCUAUUUCUUACUAACAUUUUACUGCUUGAUAGUACCCCAUGGAUACACAGGCAAGCUGUUGGAUAAACCCUCUGCAGGGCGGUACUCACCCCUCUCUUCUCAAGGACAUCUCGUGCCUCCUUUUCUGCAUUCAGACCCAGAGUCCUCCCGGGGAAGCUACACCUGUGGCAAAGCACUGAGCUAUCACAGCCAGAGCUUCAGUGGUAUUCAGAGCUGCUCUGAGCCCAGCUUAACAGUGUGGUGGGAAAGAAAAACAAGACACCAGCCAGCCACAUGUAUGUAACAUCGCUGCCGCUUUUCCAGGUGGACCAAGUAAUAGAGCUAGCUGGGGAACUGGAGACGCAGAGAGGAAAGGUUACUAACACAGAUACUGCCUGAAAGUGAUAUCUAUCAGUAACAGUAAAUUAUCAAAAUCACUGGUUAAUAUUACAACACGUUUGUCAGAAGAAAGGUGAAGCAUGAGAACUCCGGUUCACUCUGUUGUCUCUCUGUGAUUUCACCACUCCCACUAACGUUUUCUCAAGCCUUUGGAGAAGACCUGCUCAUGGAACUUGUGAUCUUACUGUGUUCUGGCUGAAACCUGAGCAAGUUAGAGCUGCUGUUGGUACUGUUCCUGCAAGAGAGAUUUAGUGUUUUCAGUUUUAAAAAAUCUAUAUUUUUGUGCUGGUGCCAUCACGGGUGGUGUAUAGCGAAACUCAGAAGUCUGAGAACUGAUGAGAGGGUGCCAUGUUUGAAAUUCUAAACCCACAAGCAGUUACAGAGGGGAAAGCAGCCUGUUGGUAUUUUAGGCGAUAGUAAAGCCCCCAGAUAUUUAACUGUAUCAAUCAACUACCUGUUGUUGGGCAGGAUCAAGCAACAGAUUGCUUAUAGAUUAAAACAGCAGCAGUGAGAUAAAUGGAAUCCCUAUAUCUUCCUGAUCUUUAGUAUCACAUCGGGAGCUAAGAGAUGACUGUCCCUUUUGGCAGGAAAACAGGUAUUCGUUUAGCAGAGGUCAGGUUGAUGGAUAGACUUGUUGAUCUCUAAGGUUUUUUCCCAACCUAAAUGACUCUAUGAUUCUGUAAUUCCCUACAAUAUCCUUAAAAACUAAGUAAAUAAAUAAAAACCUGCUCAGAAACACUGUGUUUUGAACUACCCAAAAGGGAGGAUGCAGGAGAAAAAUCAGCCCACAUUUAAAAGUCAUUACUGUAACCGUUUGUCAUUGUGCUUUACUCAGCUAUUUAAUUCUGAGGCUGCUGUUCAUUGUUAGUUGGUACCAGAAAUCGCUCAGUGUCUCCCCCUUCUUCCAUGUAAAAGAGGAGGAGCUGUAGAUGUCCAUAGUGCCAAUGUCUGAGGCAGUGUGGAACUGAGCUGGAACUCGAUGCUGAAGUGAGGUGGCACACACAGGGCCUGCUCAGCCUUACAAGAAGCUGUACUGUGUGCUGGUUUAUUACUUUGCAAGUAGUAGUAUUGGUGUAUUCGAAGAACCAAUGCACACCUACUGCCCAAAUACUGUAAUAGCACUAUUACAAUCACAGAAUUCAGUUCUCUGUAUUGUAAACGGGAGAUGCAUCUCAAAUUUUGAAGCAAGAAUUCUCCAGGGAGGGGCGGUGACUGCUAUUUUAUCACCACCAAUGUGGCGAUACCAUACAUGGGGAAACCACACACAGCAGCACGCAGCGGUCCCUGCUCCAAAUGGUUUGUGUUCCAAGUCAUGGAUAAGUAACCGCAGGUGGAGACAUGGGGGGAAAUGGAAAAAAAAAAAAA